This 75-nucleotide transfer RNA is filed under the name [Eubacterium] brachy. RNAcentral describes it as "tRNA-Gln". It matches the Rfam family "tRNA". Rfam says of the family: Transfer RNA (tRNA) molecules are approximately 80 nucleotides in length. Lineage: Bacteria; Bacillati; Bacillota; Clostridia; Peptostreptococcales; Anaerovoracaceae. The record is from RNAcentral. RNAcentral also lists the same sequence under 1 other name.
UGGGGUAUAGCCAAGCGGUAAGGCACCGGACUUUGACUCCGUCAUGCGCAGGUUCGAUUCCUGCUACCCCAGCCA